This 268-nucleotide ribosomal RNA is filed under the name uncultured bacterium. Its description in RNAcentral is "partial 16S ribosomal RNA". It matches the Rfam family "Bacterial small subunit ribosomal RNA", at positions 793 to 1055 of the family's 1533-position model. The record is from RNAcentral.
GUCCACGCCGUAAACGAUGAAUGCUAGAUGUUGGGGGGCCUAGCUCCUCAGUGUCGCAGCUAACGCGAUAAGCAUUCCGCCUGGGGAGUACGGCCGCAAGGUUAAAACUCAAAGGAAUUGACGGGGGCCCCGCACAAGCGGUGGAGCAUGUGGUUUAAUUCGACGCAACGCGAAGAACCUUACCAGCUCUUGACAUGGGGGUUAUGGGUCCCGGAGACGGGACCCUUCGGUUCGGCCGGGCCCCACACAGGUGCUGCAUGGCUGUCGU